This is a long non-coding RNA of Entelurus aequoreus (snake pipefish), 942 nucleotides long. RefSeq lists it as uncharacterized. NCBI's taxonomy places the organism in Eukaryota, Metazoa, Chordata, Actinopteri, Syngnathiformes, Syngnathidae. The transcript is spliced from 3 exons. The record is from RefSeq and is a predicted model, not a curated record.
GUCAAGAUGUGAUGACAAGUUGACAACAUUGCACUCGCCAGGGAGCAGCGACGCUGAAAAUCCACUUUUUGGGGAACGCUGCAACACACGGCUGCUGAGACGUGGCCAUUAGUUGAUGUGUCUUGAGGGAAGGUGGUGGAUGGAAAGCGUGUCAACAGUUGCUGGUAAGAGGAAUCAAGGUCAGGCAAUGACACACCGCGCGGUGCCCUAGGGCCGCCACACUCCUUCAUCCUCAAACUUUGUUGACGGGGGACGAACACUGCAAACCCACGGACGCACGGCUCCGCCAGCGAACACAAACUCGCAGGCGCGUCCUCAAAACACACACAUAAGCAGCUUGGUGCUGACGUGCACCAACACAUGUAAGGGAUCAUGUCACACUUUGGCACACACUCCCAGUCGCCCGGACACACAAAACACACACACAAGCUGAGCAAAGAGGCCAGAUGGGAUCCCAGCGUGGGCCGUUGGCCUUUCACGCACUCUGGAGACUGGAUUUCUCGCUGUUCCUUCUCCUUCACCAACCUCUUCUCUCCUUGUUUUAAAAACUCCAAAUGUACUCGUUAUUUUGACUUUUUGUCGUCCUUGUGGCAAAUUGUGCAAACAACGCGCAACAAAGGGUGGAUGGAGCCGUGAAGGAGGGAAAUGCUUAGAUCGUCAUCCCCUUUGUUUUCUGUGCUGUAAAUAUUGAUUGCAGGUUAAAGGCAAUUAGAAUAAUGGAACCAAAUAAAAAAAUGCAGCUCUGUCGGUUCCUGGCUUUGCUGCAGCGUGAUUUAAGGAGAUGCAUUUUCUGAUGGAAAUAAGCUCUUAAUACAUCUCACAGAGGACAAUGUGCAGUGUACGCCAAUCGGCAUCUGAGCGAGUGGAAUGGCUUAAAAGGAAAACGUAGAAAGCAUUAGGAGAGGAAAUAAAGGAAUGUACUGUCUGGAAAACAUUAAAGAU